UACGUAGGGCGCGAGCGUUGUCCGGAUUUAUUGGGCGUAAAGAGCUCGUAGGCGGCUUGUCGCGUCGUCCGUGAAAACCUGCAGCUCAACUGCAGGCUUGCGGUCGAUACGGGCAGGCUAGAGUUCGGUAGGGGAGACUGGAAUUCCUGGUGUAGCGGUGAAAUGCGCAGAUAUCAGGAGGAACACCGGUGGCGAAGGCGGGUCUCUGGGUCGAUACUGACGCUGAGGAGCGAAAGCGUGGGGAGCGAACAGG
RNAcentral lists this ribosomal RNA (253 nucleotides) under uncultured bacterium. RNAcentral describes it as "partial 16S ribosomal RNA". It matches the Rfam family "Bacterial small subunit ribosomal RNA", at positions 524 to 776 of the family's 1533-position model. The record is from RNAcentral.